AAAGCAACAGCCGCCAAUCCUUGGUCAGAUCGUUUAUGGUCAGAACUACGAUGGUAUCUGAUCGUCUUCAAACCUCCAACUUUCGUUCUUGAUUACUGAAAACAUUCUUGGCAAAUGCUUUUGCUUUAGUCCGUCUU
Thalassophryne amazonica is the source of this 137-nucleotide long non-coding RNA. RefSeq lists it as uncharacterized. The record is from RefSeq and is a predicted model, not a curated record. The transcript has 4 exons. NCBI's taxonomy places the organism in Eukaryota, Metazoa, Chordata, Actinopteri, Batrachoidiformes, Batrachoididae.